AGCAGCCGCGGUAAUUCCAGCUCCAAUAGCGUAUAUUAAAGUUGUUGCAGUUAAAAAGCUCGUAGUUGAAUUUCGGGAUCAAUACGUCGGUCGUGCUUUCGGGUACGUACUGGCGUCAUUGGUUUCUCCUUUCUGACGAACCAUGAUGUCAUUAAUUUGGUGUUAUGGGGAGUUAGGACUGUUACUUUGAAAAAAUUAGAGUGUUUAAAGCAGGCAUUAGCUUGAAUACAUUAUCAUGGAAUAAUGAAAUAGGACGUUCGAUCCUAUUUUGUUGGUUUCUAGGAUCAACGUAAUGAUUAAUAGGGAUAGUUGGGGGCAUUAGUAUUCAAUUGUCAGAGGUGAAAUUCUUGGAUUUAUUGAAGACUAACUACUGCGAAAGCAUUUGCCAAGGAUGUUUUCAUUAAUCAAGAACGAAAGUUAGGGGAUCGAAGACGAUCAGAUACCGUCGUAGUCUUAACCAUAAACUAUGCCGACUACGGAUCGGAUGAUGUUAAUUUAUGACUCA
Molecule: ribosomal RNA, 505 nt
Filed under: uncultured Glomus
Lineage: Eukaryota; Fungi; Glomeromycota; Glomeromycetes; Glomerales; Glomeraceae
Description: SSU rRNA
Rfam family: Eukaryotic small subunit ribosomal RNA
Source: RNAcentral